This 18-nucleotide microRNA is filed under the name Macrophomina phaseolina MS6. RNAcentral describes it as "miR-1369". The record is from RNAcentral. Lineage: Eukaryota; Fungi; Ascomycota; Dothideomycetes; Botryosphaeriales; Botryosphaeriaceae.
UGGGAGAGGAGGGAGAUG